This 533-nucleotide long non-coding RNA is filed under the name Monodelphis domestica (gray short-tailed opossum). RNAcentral's name for it is "lncRNA (ENSMODG00000045780.1)". Lineage: Eukaryota; Metazoa; Chordata; Mammalia; Didelphimorphia; Didelphidae. The record is from RNAcentral.
GGGGUCUUUGCCUUGGAAAUUGACAUGGGAGGAGCUCAGGCUUUAGAUCUCAGACUACUUCUCUUUGGACUGACAUGAUCUUCCAUCAAGGAACAAAGCAAGAUAUCAGAAGUUUUUCUGUAGCCUCUUAUUUUGUGCAGUCCUCAGAUGACCACUCUAAUCACCUGACUGACUUACUUUCAUUUUUGGUCACCAAUACGCGUUAUGAUCCAGAGUUUGAACAACUGUGUUUUCUGAGGAGGUAGAGCUCUGAAGCAUUUACAGAAGCCACUGACAGUCCAGUUUCCCCAUGAGUCACUUCCCUGGAUAAUCUUCCAUUACAGAGCAUGAAGAGCAGCAAAUUCUGAUCUUCAUUUUUUAGAGGGAAGAUCCCAUAGAGUAUUACAGUAUGACAUGGAAGGAAGAAUGAAAUGGCAUUAAAUAUAUGAGCAUGCACUCAUACAUCUGUACAUAAAAUAUAUAUGGAAAAGAAUUAUUCUUCGCUAUUGUUGAAACUUAGACUAAAUAGUAGAGGCAGGACAAGGCAUUGAUCC